UAAACGGUCCUUUUUAGGACCACCGAAUCUAAUUCCUCAAGAGUUG
Non-coding RNA from Aedes albopictus (Asian tiger mosquito), 46 nucleotides. NCBI's taxonomy places the organism in Eukaryota, Metazoa, Arthropoda, Insecta, Diptera, Culicidae. The record is from Rfam.